AGCGAGGUAGGGUAGCCAGGAGUCCCGUCAGGUUCAUGACCUGAAGAUCGGUGGUUCAAAUCCACCCCUCGCUA
Molecule: transfer RNA, 74 nt
Filed under: Desulfuromonadales bacterium C00003093
Lineage: Bacteria; Pseudomonadati; Thermodesulfobacteriota; Desulfuromonadia; Desulfuromonadales
Description: tRNA-Met
Rfam family: tRNA
About the family: Transfer RNA (tRNA) molecules are approximately 80 nucleotides in length. Their secondary structure includes four short double-helical elements and three loops (D, anti-codon, and T loops).
Source: RNAcentral